ACGGAAGGCAGCAGUGGGGAAUAUUGCACAAUGGGGGAAACCCUGAUGUAGCGACGCCGCGUGAGUGAUGAAGUACUUCUGUACGUAAAGCUCUAUCAGCAGGGAAGAUAAUGACGGUACCUGACUAAGAAGCACCGGCUAAAUACGUGCCAGCAGCCGCGGUAAUACGUAUGGUGCAAGCGUUAUCCGGAUUUACUGGGUGUAAAGGGAGCGUAGGCGGUACGGCAAGUCUGAUGUGAAAACCCGGGGCUCAACUCCGGGAUUGCAUUGGAAACUGUCGAACUAGAGUGUCGGAGGGGUAAGUGGAAUUCCCAGUGUAGCGGUGAAAUGCGUAGAUAUUGGGAGGAACACCAGUGGCGAAGGCGGCUUACUGGACGAUUACUGACGCUGAGGCUCGAAAGCGUGGGGAGCAAACAGGAUUAGAUACCCUGGUA
This 434-nucleotide ribosomal RNA is filed under the name uncultured Roseburia sp. RNAcentral describes it as "partial 16S ribosomal RNA". It matches the Rfam family "Bacterial small subunit ribosomal RNA", at positions 341 to 792 of the family's 1533-position model. Lineage: Bacteria; Bacillati; Bacillota; Clostridia; Lachnospirales; Lachnospiraceae. The record is from RNAcentral.